GAUGAACGCUGGCGGCGUGCCUAAUACAUGCAAGUCGAGCGAACAGACGAGGAGCUUGCUCCUCUGACGUUAGCGGCGGACGGGUGAGUAACACGUGGAUAACCUACCUAUAAGACUGGGAUAACUUCGGGACACCGGAGCUAAUACCGGAUAAUAUCUUGAACCGCAUGGUUCAAUAGUGAAAGACGGUUUUGCUGUCACUUAUAGAUGGAUCCGCGCCGCAUUAGCUAGUUGGUAAGGUAACGGCUUACCAAGGCGACGAUGCGUAGCCGACCUGAGAGGGUGAUCGGCCACACUGGAACUGAGACACGGUCCAGACUCCUACGGGAGGCAGCAGUAGGGAAUCUUCCGCAAUGGGCGAAAGCCUGACGGAGCAACGCCGCGUGUGUGAUGAAGGUCUUCGGAUCGUAAAGCUCUGUUAUUAGGGAAGAACAAAUGUGUAAGUAACUAUGCACGUCUUGACGGUACCUGAUCAGAAAGCAACGGCUAACUACGUG
Molecule: ribosomal RNA, 497 nt
Filed under: uncultured bacterium
Lineage: Bacteria
Description: partial 16S ribosomal RNA
Rfam family: Bacterial small subunit ribosomal RNA
Source: RNAcentral